GUGGUGGCUCAGUGGAAAGCAUAUGCUUUGCAUGCAGAAGUUCCCAGGUUCAAUCCCUGGCAUGUCCA
RNAcentral lists this transfer RNA (68 nucleotides) under Sphaerodactylus townsendi. RNAcentral describes it as "tRNA-Ala". The stretch from base 4 to 61 matches the Rfam family "tRNA", at positions 7 to 64 of the family's 71-position model. From Rfam's summary of the family: Transfer RNA (tRNA) molecules are approximately 80 nucleotides in length. Their secondary structure includes four short double-helical elements and three loops (D, anti-codon, and T loops). The record is from RNAcentral. Lineage: Eukaryota; Metazoa; Chordata; Lepidosauria; Squamata; Sphaerodactylidae.